AACCGAUUUGGUCCUAGUCCUCCUAUCAGCUACCCCUAAGACGAUACAUGCAAAUUAAUUACAUAAACGGUGAGAAAAUAAUAAGGCAAACUUAUAAGAGUCUAAUAUAAAAACAUCAGGCAUAAAAACUAAAUAGCCUACGACGUUUAGGAACCUCUAUAUCCCACAUCUGCAGUACCUAACAUUUUACAAUAGACGAAAGUCUGAUACAGCCACAGGAACCAACAAGCCGGUAAAUUAUGUGCCAGCCACCGCGGUUAUACAUAAGGCCUAAGCUGAAAAGAACCGGUAGAAAGAUGAUACUCUACGAGGUCAACACCCCCUCCAGCAGUAAUAAGCUAACAGAAAACUAAAAACAAUAAUAACCUCGUAAUACCCAUUAAAAUCAUCAAGAAAGCUCAAAAAUAAACUGGGAUUAGAUACCCCACUAUAUGAGCCGUAAAACACCCAAACACCAGAGAACUACGAACGAAAGUUUAAAACUCAAAGGACUUGGCGGUUUUCUAGACCUUCCUGGAGGAGCUUGCUAUUUAACCGAUAACCCUCGAGACACCUCACCAACCUUUGCAUAAACACAGCUUGUAUACCAUCGUCGUCAGUGUACCCUAUAAAGGAAGUAUACAAAAUGAUAACCUCCUACCACCCUAACGUCAGAUCGAGGUGCAGCUAAUAGGUUGGGAAUAAGUGAGCUACAAUAAAAUACCCACAACAAAACCAAAUAUGAAUAACCCUAUGAAACAAGGGUUUGAAACAGGAUUCAGCAGUAACACCUAAGAAGACAAUAGAUGUGAAAUCUAAGCUCUAGAAUGCGCACACAUCGCCCGUCACUCUCGUCCCCAGAGGAGAAAAGUCGUAACAAAGUAGGUGUAUUGGAAAAUGCACCUGGAACAAA
RNAcentral lists this non-coding RNA (892 nucleotides) under Anthenea aspera. The record is from RNAcentral. Lineage: Eukaryota; Metazoa; Echinodermata; Asteroidea; Valvatida; Oreasteridae.